AUAGCUGAUGCAAGUGCAACACAUGGAAGUGCAAAGAGAACACUGAAACUAAUUCAGAACACCAAGCCACCUACACUUCUCAUGGCUAAUAAUGAUGAUGAUGCCAAGAACACAAACUCAGAGAAAUCAACCAAACCAAGGUAAGCUGCUGCUGAAUCCAAGGCAGGAAGAGAGGAGAGGCAGCAGCUGGAGCUGGCCAAUGAGAGGAAGCUUUCGUGACACAAAGAAAGCCCUUGUGCCACUCUGCGCAGCAUUCAACACGAAACACUGUUCAUGAUGUACCAUUGCACAACGGCUGCCCCUAUAAAACAUCACCAGAGCAUUGAUCAUAUGGACCCUUUCAGAUAUAGUCAAGCUGUGAACUGGAGCAGCAACCAUUGGGAACAGAACUCAGCAAAGCAAGCAAAGAAAACAUGAACCUAGGAAAAAAAAAACAAUGAGGACAGGCAAAGGCAGCUGUGUAACUGUCCCUAGAUCUCUUCAACCUUUAUGCUGUGGUAGCCAGUGUAUAGUGUACUAACUGACUUCCACAACUGCUACUGGUUUCUUGGUUAAAUUGCUCUUGUAGAAGCAACAGUUUUUUUCAGUUUGAGUGAUGUUUUUUUUUGUCUAUGCACAGAAAAGAAUCAAAGGAUGCCAAUGACUGUCUAAUCAAACUUUUUUUUCCUCUGCCAUGUACUGAAGUAGGAGUACUAUAUUACCUGGUAUACAACCGUUUAUAGCAGCCUACUAGAUUUCCAAACAAUGCUAGUUCUAACAUCCGUGGUUAAUUAAAGAUAUUUGUGGAAUUGAAUCUUUGUACAGACAAUGCAGUUUAAGGCUAUCCCCAAAUGCAGAUGGCAAAUGAACAUUUGAGGGAACAUGAUUUGAUUA
Oryza sativa Japonica Group (Japanese rice) is the source of this 873-nucleotide long non-coding RNA. RefSeq lists it as uncharacterized. The record is from RefSeq and is a predicted model, not a curated record. Lineage: Eukaryota; Viridiplantae; Streptophyta; Magnoliopsida; Poales; Poaceae.